GACGAGCGCUGGCGGCGUGCUUAACACAUGCAAGUCGAACGGAAAGGCCCUGCUUUUGUGGGGUGCUCGAGUGGCGAACGGGUGAGUAACACGUGAGUAACCUGCCCUUGACUUUGGGAUAACUUCAGGAAACUGGGGCUAAUACCGGAUAGGAGCUCCUGCUGCAUGGUGGGGGUUGGAAAGUUUCGGCGGUUGGGGAUGGACUCGCGGCUUAUCAGCUUGUUGGUGGGGUAGUGGCUUACCAAGGCUUUGACGGGUAGCCGGCCUGAGAGGGUGACCGGCCACCUUGGGCCUGAGAUACGGCCCAGACUCCUACGGGAGGCAGCAGUGGGGAAUAUUGCACAAUGGGCGGAAGCCUGAUGCAGCAACGCCGCGUGCGGGAUGACGGCCUUCGGGUUGUAAACCGCUUUCGCCUGUGACGAAGCGUGAGUGACGGUAAUGGGUAAAGAAGCACCGGCUAACUACGUG
This 468-nucleotide ribosomal RNA is filed under the name uncultured bacterium. Its description in RNAcentral is "partial 16S ribosomal RNA". It matches the Rfam family "Bacterial small subunit ribosomal RNA", at positions 28 to 507 of the family's 1533-position model. The record is from RNAcentral.